Molecule: ribosomal RNA, 253 nt
Filed under: uncultured bacterium
Lineage: Bacteria
Description: partial 16S ribosomal RNA
Rfam family: Bacterial small subunit ribosomal RNA
Source: RNAcentral
UACGGAGGGGGCUAGCGUUGUUCGGAAUUACCGGGCGUAAAGCGUGCGCAGGCGGUUAUGUAAGACAGAUGUGAAAUGCCCGGGCUUAACCUGGGAACUGCAUUUGUGACUGCAUGGCUAGAGUUUGGCAGAGGGGGGUAGAAUUCCACGUGUAGCAGUGAAAUGCGUAGAUAUGUGGAGGAACACCGAUGGCGAAGGCAGCCCCCUGGGUCAAGACUGACGCUCAUGCACGAAAGCGUGGGGAGCAAACAGG